This 52-nucleotide non-coding RNA is filed under the name unclassified sequences. Its description in RNAcentral is "THF-II sequence". It matches the Rfam family "THF-II riboswitch (folE RNA)". The record is from RNAcentral.
CCGUUCAACUCGUUCCUCCGUACAAGACGUACAUUGAGGGGAGCUACGGGAG